GCUGCAAGUAGGGUAGCCUACUUAGUUUUACCACAAAGUAUGUAGGCCAACUUGCUCUGCAUGAAGAGAAGGCUGAAAUAUGAGAGCACAGUAUGUGGAUUCAUGAGAUUUUGCGGGCGAGGAAACACCUCGGCGAAAAGAAAAGGCCGCGCUUUUUUCCACGUUCCAACCGCGUGCACUCUUCCAGCUCAACUCGCCCAUGGGUCUAUUCCACCAUCGCUCGUCUCAACUCUAUGGACACUAAACUCACACUCUGGAGGCAGCUCUUUCACUGAGGGCUCACGUUUUUGUGGAUGACAUUGAUGCUGGACGGGAAUGUGUCAUCAAAGGACUCUGCAUCUACCUCAAUGAGGAUCCUUAUCAUGUUGUGCAGGAGUAUGUGGAAAUGGCUGAGACCCAUUUCUUCAGUGCUGUACACGACACGUACAUGACUACGGGAGGAUCUUUGUUGUUAAAGACACUGUCAACAGCGAACCCUCUGCAUCGGAAUAGUCAUCGAAGGUGGUGUGGUGGCACUUUGAGAUCUUGAGAAUGUAGCUAUUGCGUCUGCAAUGUUGUUUGGA
Molecule: long non-coding RNA, 563 nt
Organism: Micropterus dolomieu (smallmouth bass)
Lineage: Eukaryota; Metazoa; Chordata; Actinopteri; Centrarchiformes; Centrarchidae
Exons: 5
Source: RefSeq, a predicted model, not a curated record